GUCCACGCCGUAAACGAUGAUAACUCGCUGUUGGCGAUACACAGUCAGCGGCUUAGCGAAGCGUUAAGUUAUCCACCUGGGAGUACGCUCGCAAGAGUGAACUCAAAGGAAUUGACGGGGCCCGCACAAGCGGAGGAACAUGUGGUUUAAUUCGAUGAUACGCGAGGAACCUUACCUGGGCUUAAAUGUGGAGUGACUGCCGAAGAAUUUGGUUUCCGCAAGGACACUCUACAAGGUGCUGCAUGGUUGUCGU
Molecule: ribosomal RNA, 253 nt
Filed under: uncultured bacterium
Lineage: Bacteria
Description: partial 16S ribosomal RNA
Rfam family: Bacterial small subunit ribosomal RNA
Source: RNAcentral